AUACAUGCAAGUCGAGCGGACUGAUGGGAGCUUGCUCCCUGAAGUCAGCGGCGGACGGGUGAGUAACACGUGGGUAACCUGCCUGUAAGACUGGGAUAACUCCGGGAAACCGGGGCUAAUACCGGAUAGUUCUUUUCCUCGCAUGAGGAAAAGUGGAAAGGCGGCUUCGGCUGCCACUUACAGAUGGACCCGCGGCGCAUUAGCUAGUUGGUGAGGUAACGGCUCACCAAGGCAACGAUGCGUAGCCGACCUGAGAGGGUGAUCGGCCACACUGGGACUGAGACACGGCCCAGACUCCUACGGGAGGCAGCAGUAGGGAAUCUUCCGCAAUGGACGAAAGUCUGACGGAGCAACGCCGCGUGAGUGAUGAAGGUUUUCGGAUCGUAAAGCUCUGUUGUUAGGGAAGAACAAGUGCCGUUCGAAUAGGGCGGCACCUUGACGGUACCUAACCAGAAAGCCACGGCUAACUACGUGCCAGCAGCCGCGGUAAUACGUAGGUGGCAAGCGUUGUCCGGAAUUAUUGGGCGUAAAGCGCGCGCAGGCGGUCUCUUAAGUCUGAUGUGAAAGCCCACGGCUCAACCCGUGGAGGGUCAUUGGAAACUGGGGGACUUGAGUACAGAAGAGGAAAGU
RNAcentral lists this ribosomal RNA (630 nucleotides) under Bacillus sp. (in: firmicutes). Its description in RNAcentral is "bacterial SSU rRNA". It matches the Rfam family "Bacterial small subunit ribosomal RNA", at positions 51 to 662 of the family's 1533-position model. Lineage: Bacteria; Bacillati; Bacillota; Bacilli; Caryophanales; Bacillaceae. The record is from RNAcentral.